Long non-coding RNA from Arachis duranensis, 467 nucleotides. RefSeq lists it as uncharacterized. NCBI's taxonomy places the organism in Eukaryota, Viridiplantae, Streptophyta, Magnoliopsida, Fabales, Fabaceae. The transcript is spliced from 4 exons. The record is from RefSeq and is a predicted model, not a curated record.
CGUCGAUCUACUUCUUCACCAGAUUAUAAAGUCCUGCUCCUGACAAUGGUGGAUAGGAUGAUAUUUAGAUGAAAAUUGGCAAGAUUGUAGAUAAAGUUUUGUUAACAAAGUGGUGACCACUCAUGACAGAAGCUUCAUACCAUGAGUGUUGUUUUACAACAUAAUUAAGAGGAACAGUGGGAAUACAUUGUUAUUUUGAUAGAAGGUGCUGUCAUUAACUACAUUUCUCUCAUGGUGAGAACUAUACUGGCACACCAGAUGGGAUUUUAUAUGAUACAGAUGGAAAGAGAGUACAAAAAGAGAAAAAUGAAGACCUUUACUGGAUCCUUGUCUUUUAUUUUUUGUUGAAAUUUGUUAGUAAAUAUUAUUUUUUUUCUUUAUCAUAUGACUCAACACGUGUCGGGUGAAUAGAUCCACCACUUGUCGAGCACCAAAUCAACCACUAGUCUCCUAUUAUAUAUAGGAAG